AUUGAACGCUGGCGGCAUGCCUUACACAUGCAAGUCGAACGGCAGCAUGAUCUAGCUUGCUAGAUUGAUGGCGAGUGGCGAACGGGUGAGUAAUACAUCGGAACGUGCCCUGUAGUGGGGGAUAACUAGUCGAAAGAUUAGCUAAUACCGCAUACGACCUGAGGGUGAAAGUGGGGGACCGCAAGGCCUCAUGCUAUAGGAGCGGCCGAUGUCUGAUUAGCUAGUUGGUGAGGUAAAGGCUCACCAAGGCGACGAUCAGUAGCUGGUCUGAGAGGACGAUCAGCCACACUGAGACUGAGACACGGCCCAGACUCCUACGGGAGGCAGCAGUGGGGAAUUUUGGACAAUGGGCGAAAGCCUGAUCCAGCAAUGCCGCGUGUGUGAAGAAGGCCUUCGGGUUGUAAAGCACUUUUGUCCGGAAAGAAAUGGCUCUGGUUAAUACCUGGGGUCGAUGACGGUACCGGAAGAAUAAGGACCGGCUAACUACGUG
This 490-nucleotide ribosomal RNA is filed under the name uncultured bacterium. RNAcentral describes it as "partial 16S ribosomal RNA". It matches the Rfam family "Bacterial small subunit ribosomal RNA", at positions 30 to 507 of the family's 1533-position model. The record is from RNAcentral.